This 1047-nucleotide ribosomal RNA is filed under the name Triticum aestivum (bread wheat). RNAcentral's name for it is "partial small subunit ribosomal RNA". Lineage: Eukaryota; Viridiplantae; Streptophyta; Magnoliopsida; Poales; Poaceae. The record is from RNAcentral.
AUGUUCAUGAAGCGCCAGACGACAAUACUGUUGCUGCACCGUCAACUGCUCCUACUAACUCUGAUAUGCAUCCGUACAUUGGGGAGUGAUGAGUCGAUAUCUGCCAGGACAGCUGAAAUAUUGCCAACUCUUCUGGCAAUGAAGGAUGCUGCUGUGAGCCAUGCCACCCCAUCAGCAAGCGUUGAAGUGGAUGCUCCCAACCUAAGCAAGGAAGAUUCCUGCUCAUCUGACACUGAUUCCAAGCGCGUGCGUGGUGGCACUCCUGUGUCCACGACAGAAGCGGCUGAGGCGGCAGUUCACAAUGAUAUGCCAUCUACAGGUGCGAGUCUUGGCCCAACAGCUCCAGCUCCUGUCGGUGCAGAUACUGCUAAGGCAACUGUUUCGCGUGCUGGUCUUCCACCUAGGUGUCGUAGCCCCCACAAGCAAUCAACAGACAUACCCAACGCAUCGGUUGUAGCUAGGAGCAGCAGAGACGAGUCUGGUUAUGUUCCUGCGUCCACACUGUUCCCGCCACCUGCCAAAAGCAAUGUGAUGGAGAAACCGGAAGACCGGGGCACAACUGAUGCAGGUGUCAAGCCGGGCACGAGUGAGGCAGGUGAAUGUCCAGAGCAGACUGCGCCUUUACCCGUAGUGGAAAUCCCCAGCUUAAAUCUGCGCACUUCCAGGCUCCCAGUCAAUGUGGGUGUCCCAUACAGCCCAAACAAGAAGAUUGUCAAGAAAGCUGCGGCUGGUACCGCUGACAACACGCCCCGCCCUACAAAUAAGCCCGAUCAUUCUGUAGCGGCCGAUUCAGAUAUGUUUGUUGAUCUUUCACCCUUGGAUUCUGCCCCGCAAGUUGUUCGUGGUCCGGCCAGUAGGCAUGAGAGGCACCCAAUGGCCUUCACCCCACCGAGCUUCAGUCUUGGCAUCAGUCAAGAUGAACUAGUGGUGCCAGAUCCUAUGCCAGUUGCCUUUGCUUUCCCCGGAGGCAUGCCCGCAAUGAUGGCGCAGCCAAUGGUCGAGGGCAGGAAGGCUGUCAAGUUCGCAGAGCCGAUAGUCCAAGUGUAG